UGCGUAGGUGGUUGGUUAAGUUUGAGGUGAAAGCUCCGAGCUCAACCUCGGAAAAUGCCUUGAAGACUAUCUGACUAGAGGAUUGGAGGGGAGAUUGGAAUUCUCGGUGUAGCAGUGAAAUGCGUAGAUAUCGAGAGGAACACCAGUGGCGAAGGCGAAUCUCUGGACAAUUCCUGACACUGAGGCACGAAAGCCAAGGGAGCAAACG
This 208-nucleotide ribosomal RNA is filed under the name uncultured bacterium. Its description in RNAcentral is "partial 16S ribosomal RNA". It matches the Rfam family "Bacterial small subunit ribosomal RNA", at positions 568 to 774 of the family's 1533-position model. The record is from RNAcentral.